GGUGUUGAUAGGCAAGUCGUGUGUUGCGCACCGCGGUCGAGACUUCGUUUGUUGGGGUUGUGGGCUCGGAUAUAUACAAACUUCGUGCCAAGCGGUGCAUGACUGGGCUGGCUUGCUGCAAUCGUUGACCCGUUUGGGUUGUCGGGGUGCGGCUUGCUUGCUCAAACCAUGGUGUACGUAACGGCGCGUGGGUAGUUGUCGGCUUGUGUGGGUUGGUUGGAUCCCUGCUUGGGCAGCGACGUCCCCCUGUGCAGGCCUCUUCAGUUGUUGGCCCAAGAGCACCUUAGCCUUGGCCGCGUACGGGUUUCCUGUGUUGUAUGCCUACUGAAACGGAAUUCCUGUGUCUUAUCGUUUGUCGUUCGCCUUGUGAUGCCCCUUUCGGGUGCGGCAUCGGGUGAACCUCGAAGUGAUGUUCGUGUUCCUCGUCACCCACGAAACGUGUUGGCGCGGACCACGAAUCGUUGCUUGAGCUCUCGGAUGCGGAACACACGGUGGGUCGGAGGCCGACGGCCUCCCUUUGCCCGAACUGAGCGAUAUUCGCUCGUAUACCGAACGACUGC
This 560-nucleotide unclassified non-coding RNA is filed under the name Balmea stormiae. The record is from RNAcentral. Lineage: Eukaryota; Viridiplantae; Streptophyta; Magnoliopsida; Gentianales; Rubiaceae.